This is an RNA transcript of Panthera uncia (snow leopard), 14278 nucleotides long. It is a transcript of the gene named RNA sensor RIG-I, with no coding region annotated. NCBI's taxonomy places the organism in Eukaryota, Metazoa, Chordata, Mammalia, Carnivora, Felidae. The record is from RefSeq and is a predicted model, not a curated record. The transcript is spliced from 19 exons.
UGUAUUAAAAAUUUUUCAGAAGGUUCUUCAGGAUACCAGAAACCAUGUAUGAGCUGGUUUGAGUUGUGGCCACCCCACUGUCCCCACCAAUGGGGGCAAAGGAUGGGAAGUAGAGGGAGAGGUUUCUCUUCACAAACCAGAUUUUUUCAGAAUUCUGAGCAUGGGUGCAUUUCUAACAUUAAGCUCGUUAAGCUACGUACAAUUGAAAUGUUAACUGACUAAAUUAAUGUAGCUAUUACUGAGACCAGAGUUUAUAUGGUAUGACCCCUUUAACUGCAAGGAAUAAGUUCCAAGAUCCCUCUGGAUGCCUGAAACUGAAUAGUACUGAACCCUGUAUGUACUGGUUUUUUCUAUACAUACAUAUCUGUGAUAAAGUUUAAUUUAUAAAUUAGGUGAAGAAAUUAACGACAGCAAUAAUAGAAUUGGACAAUUAAUAUACUGCAAUAAAAGUUACGUGAAUGUCUCUCAAAAUAACUUGUACUCAUCCUUGUGAUGAUGUGAGGUGGUAAAAUGCCUACAUGAUGAGAUAAAUGAGGUGAAUGACAAAGGCAUUGUUAUGUAGCCUUAGGCUACUGUUGACCUCAGGAUACUUUAAAAGGCAGAUCAUCUGCUUCCAAAUCCUAGUUGACUGGAUAACCAACAUGAAAAGCAAAAUUGCAGGUGAGUGGGGGGGGGGGGGGGCACUACUAUAUGGAUAUGUCCACUGGUGCCUUUAGGAAAACCCACAUGGGAAGCGAAAUCAUAAUCAUUGUGUAUGUAGCCUAACUCUCAAAAGGUUCAGAAAGAAUGCUACAUAUGUAGACAGAGAAAAUGAUAAAUUGUGGCAAAGUGUUAAAAAAUGAGAGUAAAAAGGAAGUCUUUAAACUAUUUUUGUAUUUCUGUAGGUUUAAAAUAAUUUCAAAACGUUAAUAAAAUUGCCUCUGUAGGCCUGCUAGGUUACCUGUAUGAGUGUGUUAGAGUUUUCAGCCACAUAUACUUGGCAAAAGGAAAAAAUGUCACAGGCGAACAUGCAGUAACUAUUAAAGCCACUUUGUGAGAAAGAACCAGUCACUAGAAGUAUUGUGGUCCCAUUUAUAAUCCUGGGCCUGUUGAGAUAAGGAUCUUAGUCUGAGAUACAUGGUUAACUGCUCUUGAUCCCAUGCUCAGAAGCAAGUGUGUGAGGGGUAUAAAAACAAAGGUGAGGUGUUUUUUAAGUUUAUUAUUUAUUUUGAGAGAGCAUGAGCAGGGGAGGGGCAGAGGGGGGAGAGAGAAUCCCGUUGCAGGGGUCAAACUGAUGAAACAAUGAGACCACCUGAGCCAAAACCCAAGAGUUGGACGCUUAACUGACCAAGCCACCCAGGGGCCCCAAGAGAGGUUUUUGUUUGUUUGUUUGUUUUGUAAUUUAGGAUAGAGGGAAGACAAGCUUUCUGAAAAGGAGACCCUGGAAUAGGAAAAAAAAGUAAAGGAGAGGUAACUGAUGGAGCAGAGUUCCUGAAUGGCAGAGCACAGCACAGGUAAGUGAAUUGGUAAUGGGUAGAAGCAGAGGCAAGUCUUACUGUGAAAUGACAGAAGGAGGUAACGCACAAAGAAAUACUCAUGAGCAAGAUGCACUGAGAUGAGGUUAUUAACACUUGUAAAGCCUCUCUCCAUGAAGUAGGAAGUAAUGCCAACUUCUGAGAAGUAUGGGUCGUGAGUAAGAUUGGACUUGAGAAGAGGAAUGAGAAAAUGCUGUUGUAUAGUAUGUGUUUGGUGAGUGAAUAAAUAGAUGGUUCAUGGUUGAAGUUCUGAAUGUGACUAGUAAAAGGGAGGCAAGGGAGUUGAGAUAUUGGUGAGUAUAGUUGAAUUGAUGCAUUCUGGCUUCUGGGCUGUGUAGGAAAGGUGAAGCUAGGUCACCAUUAUAUGUAAAGAACAGGGAGAUAACAAAGAAUUUGUUUUCCAGUGAGGUUCAAGUAGAUACAGUGGAGGAAGGAAUAAGACAAAAAGUAUUUUAGACAGUGCCUAAUGCUAGGGAUGUUUGGAAGUAACUAGAAUGGGUGGAGGUAGAGGUGAAGGUGAUUGGAACGGAGGGUGGUGAUCAGUGUGGCUGGAAGUAUCCUUUACAUGGAAGAUACUGUGGGUGAUGGCAGAAGGUCAAGGAUGGAGAAGGAAAUGGUAGUCGUGUCAUGGAUAUUAUAUCUUGUACUUUAAACUAUGCUUGAGUUCCACUAGAGCAGCUGGCAUGUGUACAAAGAAGAUAAUGAAAACUUGGUAAAUAGUUAUUUCCUCAUUCUGAGUUUUUAGUCAAUACCUGAGUCACUUAGGUAUUAGAAAACAUUAAGUGCGAAAGGGCCAUUUAAAAAAGUACAGUAAGAUUGGUUGUUAAAAUGUGAAAAUUAGGAAAUUCUCACUUUACCUGCACGUGGGGGAAUGGUAAAUCCAUUGGAUCUGUGCCUGAGAAAAGCAAGAGGCAAGGAAAAUGGAAGUUGAGUUAGGCCAAGGUCUGAGUCCAUAAAUUCAUCCCUGUAAAGCAUUAGAUGAUAUGCUUUUGUACAGACACAAGGGGGCAGAAUUAGAUCUCUAGUAUUUGUUUCUCUGCAUGACCAUCUGCACUUUAAAUAGGUAAACCAUUCUCAAGCACAAGGAUACCUCUUUGGACUUAUGUUUGUAAAAUUCAUUUAUUCACCAAAUGCUGAGUACAUAUGGUCUGAGUCUAUGCUAAAUGCUAGAGGUGUAACAAUGAAUAGGGUGGAACCAACAGAAAUGUUGAAGAAGGUGGGAAUGGAACGAUUAGAUUUGUUUUCAAACAACUAGCAGUAAUGUAGAAGAACGUUUGGAGUGGGAAAACCUCGAUGAAAGACUGCUUAAGGAGCUCUUUUCAAUAGCUCAAACCAGAAGUCAGAAGGGCCUUUAGAAAAACAACAGGGAUUCAGUGGAGAGGCUGGAUUCAAUCAAUUUCUGAGGUAGAUUAGACAAAAUUUGGGUACCAUGUACAUGAGGAUGGGCUGUAAGGAGAGGGAAAAGUCUGGUAUGAUGAGAUUUCCGCCCCCCUCCCCACCACCCCGUGUGAGAAUUAGGAGAUAGAGGAAUAGGGAUAGUUGGGGAAGACAAUGAGUUCAGUUUGAGACUGAGCAGCCUAGAGCUGCACUGUCCAAUAUAGUAGCUACUAGGCACAUGUGGGUAUUGAUCACUUGAAAUGUGGCUAGUAAAACUGAGGAACUGAAUUUUAAGUGGUGUUUAGUGAGGCUCAUGGCUGCCAUAUUGGCCAAUAUAGGUAGAGAACAUUUCCAUCAUCACAGAAAAUUCUUUUGGGACACCCUGGGGGACAUCUGGACAGAUGAAGAUUUCCAGUGGGUACCUGGAAAUAGGAGUGUGAAUCUUGGAGGAGAGAUGGGGACUAGGGAGGUGAUUUAGGAGUUACUGGGAAACUAGGGUGGGUGUACUAGAGAGGUUGUAGAAGUGGAUGAGUUCUCUCAGAGAGUAGAAAAACAAGAAAAGCAGGCAUAAGUGAAAAUUCUAGAGAAUACAACAUUAAGGAGGCUGGCAAAAGAAGAAAAGGUUUUCAAAAGAGACCAAGAAGUAUAUGUACCCGUAGUCCCAUAUACUUGUCUCUUCAAUUUUAUGUUGUAUAUCUUGUAUCAGAGGCAGUGCCCUGCAUGCAGUAGGGUAUAAACAGAAUUUCCAAGAGGUUAAUUUUAUUUUUAAGGUCUUGGGAGUUACCUUCAUGUGGUCAUUGAAUCAGGGAAUUCUGUUCUGGGUGGGGCAGAUUAGGCCACCUCCAAAGAUAUCUAAUACCAUUUUUAGAAUACAGGACUAGGAAGUAUAAUCUUUUGACCUUACUCUACCCAUCACCCUCCUUCUCUAUACUUCCCUUCAUGCUCAGCUAUGAUUUUCUGGAUUAUGUUUAAAUCAUUCCCUUACAAUAACCUCUUUCUAGCCCUUCUGUCUUCGUUCACUUAGUUUAGGGGUGAGCAACUUUUUCCUGUAAAGGGCCAGAUGUACUCUAUGUUGUAUAGUCUUUUUUUUUUUUUUUUUUUUUGUAACUCUUUGAAGAUGUUAAAACAAUUUUCAGUUUGUGGCCUCUUUAAAAACAAGUCACAUGCCAAAUCUGUCCUGCAAUAGUUUGCUAACCUGUUACCUAGCAAGACCUCCAUCUGGAUGAACCCAGCUCUUCGGUUGUGCCUACAUGCAUCCUCCUGAGUGUUUUUGAAGGAAAUUAGGAACUGCAGGUUGGUGUCACCAUAAGAACACAAUCCCAAGUGGACAAGUUUCUUUAGUGUUCUUGCUCAUUGGUAUAAUGGGUAUAGUUCACACCUUUUACUUUCUCAAACCUUCCACUUGUCUCUACCGCAGGCUUUCCAUAGUGGCUGGGCAGUUCUGACCAGUGCCAGGUUUAGGCAAACACAAACCCUAUCUGCUCACCAAAACAAUACCCCUCUAGCAUGUUAGUAGAGACAUUGCCCACCCAUGUGGUCUUGACUGGUUUGUUCGUCUGUCCUCAGCCAACUGGGUGGCCUGCUGAUCCAGGAUGGCCUCAUCUGGGAUUAUUGGACUCUGUGUAGUCAUCUUCCAGCACAUUAGCCUGAGCUUGUUUACCUGGUGGUCACAGGGGUCUGAGAGAGAGAGAAGUGUGGAGUCUCAAGACCUGGGCUCAGAAUUGACAUCAUCAUUUCCUCUUUUUUUUUUUUUUCUCCCUAUAGUAAGUCCUAAGACCAAACUGAUUGUAGGGGAAGGAAAAGAGACCAGUAUUGAUGGGAGGAGCUACAAAGUUACAUUGUAAGAGGUAUAAGUAUUGGGAAAAGUGAAGAAUUGUAACUUUUGCAUCCAACCUACCAUAGCAUCCAGGUUUGCUCCACUCAAUGGAGAAAGCCCUCUUCAUCUAGGCUUUUAGUCCUCACACUUAUGUGUGCAUCUGUAGCAUGUGGAAGGUUUGUUAAAACAUAUUGCUGGGGCCCACACCUUCAAAAUGUUUGGGAUGCCAAGAAUUUGCUUUUCUAACCGGUUUCCAGGUGGUUCUGAUGUUACUGGCUGGCAGACCACAGUUGGAGAACCACUGUUCUGGGACAUACACCCUCUGCACGUGCUGUGGAUUUCACUUACGUCACUUUAACAGGAAUUUUGAUUUUUUAAAUUAUCCUCUUUUUUCCUGUAUCUCCUGCUUUUUAGUUCCUUAGCUACAUGUUACUUAGUUACUUUGCUACUCAGAACGAGGUCUGUGGACCAGCAAUAUCAGCAUCACCAGUGUCAGCUUCUUAGAAAUGCAGAAUCUCAGACUUACUAGGUCAGAAUCAGUACUUUAAUAAGACCUGUGAGUGAUUCUUGUGCAUUCGUGUUUGAGAAGCACUGCCUGUGGAUCAUUCUCAUCAGCAAGCGAGUAUGUUCUUGAUUUCCUCCUACAAGCCUUCCUGUCUUCCAACGUCCCAUGCUAAUAGAUGGCACCCCCAUUCAUGCAGCUGCUCAGGCUAAAGAGGAAUUUUCCUUGACUUGUUUCUCACAUAUCCCACAUUCAGUUCAUGGCCACACUUUACCACUUCCACAGCUUUGCUCCUAAUCCAGGAUGCCAUGAUCUCUCACUUGGACUAGUGCUGGUGCCAGCUUCUUACCUGGUCAGUAGGCUUCCACCUGUCUCCCUGCAGCUUGUUUUCUUCCAGUCAACCACAGUGAGCCUUUAAAAACAGGUCUUGUUAUAACCCCCAAAUCCUGCAAUGGUUCUGCAUCAUAUUUAAAAUCAAAACCCAAACUGGGGUGUCUGGGUGAUUCAGUUGGCUGAGCAUCCAACUCUUGGUUUCAGCUUAGGUUGUGAUCUCGCAGUUUGUGGGAUCAAGCCUCGCUGACAGCUUGGAGCUUGCUUGGGAUUCUCUUUCUCCUCCUCUGUCAGCCCUUCCCCUGCUUGUGCUCUCUCUCCCCAAAUAAAUAAACUUAAAAAAAUCAAAACCAAAGUCAUUGUGGUCUGUCAGGCUGUAUGUGAACUGCCUUGGCCACCUCUCUCCUCUCUUUCCCCAGCCCACUUUAUUCUAGUGACUCUUCUCCCCUUCUUUUCUUUUGCAGACCUGGUUCACCCCUGUUUGUUUGUACUAUGUGGUUUUUUUUUUUGUUUUUUGUUUUUUCUCUUUGCACUUUGUUUUAGAAUGCUCUUCACCCAAAUGGCAUGCUAUCUCACUUAGGUCUUCCUUGAGUCACUCAUCUAAUAUAAGCAGCCCUCAUUACUGUUUAUUCCCUUAUCUUGCUUUAUUUCUCCUUCCUGAACUUGUUGUUACCUAACAUCUUUCUUUCACGGUAGAAUACGAUAUGUUUUAAACCUGUCUUCUUCAUUUUAGUCUUGGUGCUACCAUUCUCCUAGUUGCUCAAGCCAAUGCCUGGAAUGUAGCCUUGAUUUUUUUUCCCCUCUUCCUUUCCCACUUCCUUCACUCAAUCCUAUGUCUAAAGUAUAUCUGGAACUUUUCAUUUCUUAUACUCUGCAUUGCCACUGUCCUCAUCUUUGCUCUCAUCCUCUCUUGAGUCAGCUCCCAUCGAUCUACCCAUUCCACAUAGGAGCCAGAGAGAAAGUCUUUUAAAAAAUGUCAUCAAAUUAUGUUACUCCUUGCUUAAAAUCCUGCAAUGUGUUCCCAUUGUACUUUAUUCUUUGCCUUACAAGGCCCUUUCACCAAUUCAGUAACACUCCAUGCCAUUUAUCCCUUGUUCAAGAAAUUCCUGAUACAAAUCACUUUUUCUCUUUGACUCAUUUGUGCUUUCUGUCCCUUUGUAUGGAAUUCCCCCCUUCCUAUUUUUUUGAAUAAUUCAUUCCUUCUCAUUCUUAAGGACUCAGCUGAAGUGUGACCUACCUAGAAAGACCUACCACUGCAUUAAAACAGUUUUUUUCAAUCUCCUUUAUUUUCUAUCUCAUGACUCUAUUUGCUUUCUUAAUAUUUCACAUUUGCUUUAAGAAAAGGAAAUGGUAAGUCACAGACUAGGAGAAAAUAUUUGAAGUACAUAUAUUUGACAAUGGGCUUAUAUCUAGAAUAAAUAACUUAUAAGUUCAUAAUACAAAGAAAACCCAAUCAGGCAAAGGAUGGAAACAAAUGCCUCACAAAGGAAGAUAUGUAAAUGGCCAACAGGUACAUGCAAAUGUGCUCACAUCAUUAACUAUUUGAGGAGUUAAAACUACAAUAAUACACUAUUUCACAUUGACCAAGAUGGCAAAUUGACCCAUGUGUAGCCACUGGAGCUCUCUGACUCUACUGGUGGGAAUGCAAAAUAGUACAUACAGUUUGGGAAACAGGUGGGAGAUACGUGUUAGGUUAAACAUGCAGGUAGGACCUACACAACCUGGGGGAAGCAGUUAACACUCAUACACAUUUUCCAAAACUCAGUGAAUCAUACAUUUAAAAUCUGUGCAUUUAUUGAAUCUAAACUUUACUGCUAUAAAAGAAAAAAAAAAAAAAAGUUCCCAGGGAUCCUCCUCCGUCCCUCUGGGCGAGCGAGCACUUGCAGGUUGGCUAACGUCAGGAAAAUGCGGUCAGGGAGGCGGGGACCUGGGGCAGCCCAGCUUCCGCGAGCCGCCAAGCCCUGGCCCGUUCGCCGCUAGUUGUGGUUUCGGUUUCCAUUUCCCUUCUGCAGUUUAGGUUCCCCGGCGGCUCCGCCUCUCCGCUGGGCCAGUACACCCUCUCAGAAAAUCCCUCCUGGCCGGCCGCUGGGCUUUAAAGGGAGUGGGGCACCGGUGAGGUAGGACCUCGCGGGGAGCUGAGCCACCGGGAUGACGGCGGAGGAGAGGAGGAAUCUGCGCGCCUUCCAGGACUAUGUCAUCAAGAUUCUGGACCCUACCUAUAUCCUGAGCUACAUGUCGCCCUGGUUUAAGGACGAUGAGGUGCAGUAUAUUCGGGCUGAGAAAAACAAUAAGGGCACGAUGGAGGCUGCCUCACUUUUUCUUAAGUUCCUAUUGGAGCUCCAGGAAGAAGGCUGGUUCCGUGGCUUUUUGGAUGCCCUUGCUCAUGCAGGUUAUUCUGGACUUUAUGAAGCCAUUGAAAGUUGGGAUUUCCAAACCAUUGAAAGGUUGGAGGAGUAUAGGUCACUGUUAAAGCGUUUACAACCAGAAUUUAAAACUACAGUUAAUCCAAAAGAUAUCCUUCCUGAAGUAUCUAAAUGUUUAAUUAGUCAGGAAUGUGAAGAAAUUAUGCAGGUUUGUUCCAACAAGGGGCUGAUGGCAGGUGCAGAGAAAAUGGUUGAAUGCUUUCUCAGAUCGGACAAGGAAAACUGGCCCAAAACUUUGAAACUUGCUUUGGACAAAGAAGAGAGCAAGUUCAGUGAACUGUGGACUGUGGACAAAGGUGCAAAGAAUAUUGACGUGAAAGUUCUUGAGGAUGAUGAAAUGGAAACUUCUGACAUACAGAUUUUCUACAAGGAAGAAUCUGAAUGCCAGAAUCUUAGUCAGAAUUCAUGUCCAUCUUCAGAAGUCUCUCAUAUUUACACCCCAGUGAAGCCAAGAAAUUACCAACUAGAGCUUGCUUUGCCUGCUAAGGAAGGAAAAAACACAAUAAUAUGUGCUCCUACUGGUUGUGGAAAAACCUUUGUUUCACUUCUUAUAUGUGAGCAUCAUCUGAAAAAAUUUCCGCAAGGACAAAAGGGGAAGGUUGUCUUUUUUGCUGUUCAACUCCCAGUGUAUGAACAGCAGAAAUCUGUGUUCUCAAACUAUUUUGAAAGACUUGGGUACAAAGUUGCAGGUGUUUCUGGAGCAACGUCUGAGAAUGUCUCAGUGAAACAGAUUGUUGAGAACAAUGACAUCAUCAUUUUAACUCCACAGAUUCUUGUGAAUAGUCUUAAAAAUGGGACUAUUCCAUCACUCUCUGUCUUUACUUUGAUGAUAUUUGAUGAAUGUCACAAUACUGGUAAACACCAUCCUUAUAAUAUGAUCAUGUUUAAUUAUCUAGAUCAGAAACUUGGAGGAUCUUCAGACCCACUGCCUCAGGUCAUCGGGCUGACUGCCUCGGUUGGCAUUGGGGAUGCCAAAAGCACAGCAGAAGCCGUGGAAUAUAUCUGCAGACUGUGUGCUUCUCUUGACACAUCAGUGAUAGCAACAGUCAAAGACAACUUGGAGGAACUGGAAGAAAUUGUUUAUAAGCCCCAAAAGUUUUUCAGGAAAGUGGAAUCACGGACCACUGACAGAUUUAAAUGCAUCAUCUCUCAGCUGAUGAGGGAAACAGAGAGUCUGGCAAAGAGUAUCUUUGACGAAAUCGGUACCAUAACUCUCGAAGGUAUAUCUCAAAUUCAAAAUAGGGAAUUUGGAACGCAGAAAUAUGAACAAUGGAUCGUUACUGUUCAGAAAGCAUGCACGGUGUUUCAGUUGCCUGACAAAGAUGAAGAGAGCAGGAUUUGUAAAGCACUGUUUUUGUACACUUCCCAUUUGCGGAAAUAUAAUGAUGCCCUCAUUAUCAAUGAGCAUGCGCGAAUGAAAGAUGCUCUGGAUUACUUGAAAGACUUCUUCACCAACGUCCGAGCGGCAGGAUUUGAUGAGAUUGAGCAAGAUCUCACUCGGAGAUUCGAAGAAAAGCUGCAGAAACUGGAAAGCGUUUCUAUGGAUCCCAGCAAUGAGAACCCAAAACUCAAAGAUCUCUGCUUCAUCUUGCAAGAGGAGUACCACUUAAACCCAGAGAGUAGAACCAUCCUCUUUGUGAAAACCAGAGCACUUGUGGAUGCUUUGAAGAAAUGGAUUGAAGAAAAUUCUGAACUCAGCUUUCUAAAACCUGGCAUAUUGACUGGACGGGGCAAAACAAAUCAGAACACAGGGAUGACACUCCCAGCACAGAAGUGUGCAUUGGAUGCAUUCAGAACUAAUGGAGAUAAAAAGAUUCUGAUCGCGACUUCAGUUGCUGAUGAAGGCAUUGACAUUGCUGAGUGCAAUUUGGUCAUCCUGUAUGAGUAUGUGGGCAAUGUCAUCAAAAUGAUCCAAACUAGAGGCAGAGGAAGAGCGAGAGGUAGCAAGUGCUUCCUUCUGACUAGUAAUGCUGUUGUAAUUGAAAAAGAAAAAAUAAAUAUAUACAAAGAAAAAAUGAUGAAUGACUCCAUUUCAAUGCUUCAGACAUGGAAUGAAGUAGUAUUUAAAGAAAAGGUUCUCCAGAUACAGAUUCAAGAAAAAGUCAUCAGGGAUAGGCAAGGAAAAGUAGAACCUGUACCUGAUAAGGAAAAUAAAAAACUGCUCUGCAGAAAGUGCAAAGCCUUUGCAUGUUACACUGUUGAUAUCAGAGUGGUGGAGGAAUGCCAUUACACUGUGGUUGGAGAUGCUUUCAGGAAGUGCUUUGUGAGUAAACUACACCCCAAACCAAAGAGCUUUGGAUAUUUUGAGAAGAGAGCAAAGAUCUUCUGUGCCAGACCAAACUGCAGCCAUGACUGGGGAAUCCAUGUGAAGUAUAAGAUAUUUGAGAUUCCAGUUAUAAAAAUAGAAAGUUUUGUGGUGGAGGAUAUUGCAACUGGAGCUCAGAAACUAUAUGCAAAGUGGAAGGACUUUCAUUUUGAGAAGAUACCAUUUGAUGCUAAGGAAAUGUCCAAAUGACCUGGGUGCCUCAUUCUUUAGCUACAGGGGAUGGAUGACCGACCCUGACUGAAGAAAUUAGCCCCAGUGGGUACAAUCAUGGAUUGCUUGUACCAUUGUGAAGGUAUUUGCCCAAGGCUUGUAUUGAACUAAAUGUUUAUGGCUUUCUGUAGGCCAAUAAAGCUCUUAAGUACUUGGGAAAAAUUAAAAAGCCUUAACUUCUUUUCCUAUCCUUCCUCUUGCAACUGACCCCCAAUGAAUAUCCAGUAGCCACUGGGUACACAUUAGAAUGAAUGAAUGAAUGAAUGAAAGGAAGGAAGGAAAGAAAGAAAUGUUCAAAGUUUUUUCCAUACUUCCCUUUCUUUCCUUAACCUACUACUGUAAACUGACUCUUGCCCUUAAUCUACUGACAUUGUUCUUGUUAAUACCAGUGCCCAAUCCAUCGGGCACUUCUUAGGCCUUCUCUCUCUUUGAUCUCUUUGCUGCUUUUGGCCCUGUUGAGUACUCCUUUCCUGGAACCCCCUCUUGGCUCCUAUUUCUGUUAGCUCUGUCCCAGUCUAUGCUGUUGAUUCCUCUAUGCUGAUCUCUUAAAUGCUGAUAAUUCUAAGGGUUCGAUAAAUAUUCAUAUACAUAGAUAUAGUAGUUACUCAUAUUUUCUAUGUACCAGUGUGUGGCAUGUAAUCUUAAAAUUCUGUAGGACAACUUUUAGUAAUGGGAUUAUGUAGAGGAUACAGUACUUCUUGAGAAAUUGAUUUCUGUUUUUAUAGUUUAUUGUACAUCUUGCCCUAUUAAUUUGUUUCCUUAACCCGUGCUGUUGUUCCCUUUGAAUAGUCAUCUCAAGCCAUUUUGUAAUAAUAGUUGAUGGUCCACACUUUGGACUCUGUUCUCAGGUUCCUUGGAUGAAACUGAGGAGAUAAAUUUGGCUGUCCUAUCCACUUAAAAAAUCAGACUAUGUAUUCAAGUGGCAUUCUUGUGUCAUUAAACAAGGUUGGCUGAUGCCCUGAGAGUUGUUUGCGGUUUUCCAGACAUGGGCACAACUGCCUGAGUUUUGCUGUUUCCAUGUAGGCCACGGUAUUUUGUGUUCAAGGCAGGGUAGGCUCUGUAAUAACUUAAGUAUUCUCUAAAACAGAUUCAGAUUAGUUGUUUGUAAUUCACCAGGACCAUAAAUGGCUUAAACAAACCUUCAAACAUCACAAAAUGCUAAUAAUAUGUUCAACAUCUGUGAUUAUAUAACCCUUUUCAUGUAGCACCUGUUUAUAUCUGAAGGCUAUUUGGUGUCCAAGAGACCACCCAAAUCAACCCUGAAGUUCAAUGGGAUAACAUGCUUCAGCCACCUCAUUCUCCAUUUGAUCUGAGACAAACCAUCAGGUCAGCAUUUCCUCCAGCAUGUCCUGUGGAACACACACGCUGUGAGACGCUCUGAAGAAAAUAGCCUGUGAGCAGAUGGGCUCCUGUACGGUCUGCUGCCAGCCUGCCCCUCCAGUGAGUGAUUUACAGCCUACAUGGUCAUUGUGUCAUUGUGUCGGUUCUGUGCUAACAAGACCCACUUAACCCAGCGGUUCCCAAAUACACUGACCCUGGAAGCCUGUUGUUCAUGGGACACCGUUAACGUCCUGCAGAAGCACAACAGCAGGUAUCCAGCCCGGACGUGGACUAAACAACCAGAGCCAAGUUGGAAUGUUAAUUUCAGGAUCAUAGCCAGUAACUCUUUUAUUACCCUAUGUAAUAAAACUAUAUGGUUUCACGCAGCAAAUCUGUACUUAAUGCAUAGGCCUCAGUUCUUGGGAUACAAAUUAUUAAAACUAUUAAAACUAUCAGCUAUAAUUAUAUAAUCUUUGUUCAUGAUAAUUAGGCUGUCCAGGUGAACAAAAACUACUCGGGUGCUAAAUUCUGUUUGUGGUCAUGACACUUUACAGCUUCCUCAGAAGGCAGCCAUGGAACCUCAGUUUCUCUUUUCCAGAAGUGAUUCUCCGUUGCUCCUGCAUAACCCUGCCGGGUACCACACUGUCCUCACAUAACCUUGAACGGGAAACGGGGCCACAAAUACUGUUCUCCAUUUUGGCGACUUGGAAAACUCCCAAUUUCAGCCUACAAAAUACUGGCAGAUAAAUCUCUAAGUUCAUAAACUAGUAACUGCCAGCCCAGAGCUGCUAGCGACCACAUCCCCUGCACAUGGAGCAGCCCUGAAGAAGGCGGCCAGUGGAGACGGAAGGUAAGAAGUGAGGGAGAGGAUAAGGAGGGAACCUGGGUUUGAGCCACCAGAUCCAAUCAAGCCUAGGGCCGUGGCCACCUCUGUUCUUCAGGUUCUAUGAGCCAAUUAUUAUUACCAUUGACUAAUAUUUUUGCUUAGCCAGUUUGAGUUGUGCUUCUUAGCCAGUAAGAGCUGUGACUAAUGCACCCUUCCCCUAGCUUUCCCUCCACGUACUAAAGGCUGCCUCAGAGCCAAAGACACACGUGCUUACUUGCUGCAUUGGAUCAGUCUGUUACCUCAGGGUGCACACCAAAGAACACACGGUUUCCUAGCAGGCAGCAGGCGUGAUGGAUUUGGAAAGCUGUGAGAACAAAGGAGAUGAGACUCCUGUGGAGAGGCGGGAGGCCUGGGACCAGCAAGGGCAGCAUACGUGCAGUUGGCAGGGAGAUUGAUGCCUUCUUGAGAAACUAGGCCAGAGAAGUUUACUUGUUCCAUCCGGUUGUGGCCAAGAUUGGGACACAGGGCAAGACGUUUUAUUAAUGAACAGGCUAGAGGGUGUGUUUGGAGGCAGAGGAGUCUGGAAGUGAAGGGACCCCGUUCUGGAAGUCAUAGCCACAAGAAUCUGUCUCUGCAUAGCCACUGGAUUCGGGGAGCCACACAGCUCCCCAGGAGCUCAGUCAUGGAGAGCUGAGGCAGUGAGGUCUGUUUUCUCAGCCUUUCUUUGUGUUUUUAUGUUAGGACUGAUCCUUAUUUGAAGGUCCCAGGCUUUUUUUUUAUACAACAAGGUUAUGUCUGUAAUUUUUUCUUAGCACAAACUAGGUCCCAGGACCUCAGAGGCAGGGAUGCUCAAUAACCUGUCUUGUCCCUUAUCUUGGAAGAGGUAGAGACGGGACUUGAUCCCGGGUGUUCCGAUGGCCUGGCCACAUUCCCUGCAUGCUGGACUUGAGAUUUAAAAUUCAUUAGAAGGAGACUAACUUGUGAGCUAUAAGGUGCCCUGUUAUGGACUGAAUGUCUUUUGUCCCCCACCCCAAAAUUCCUAUGUUGAAGCCCUAACUCCCAGUGUGUCUCUUUGGAAAAGGGACCUCUGAGGAAGUGAUUAAGGUUAAAUGAGGUCCAGGGGUUGGGACCCUGAUCUGAUAAAAUCAGUAUCUUUAAAAGACAACAGAGAGCCAGCUCUUUCUCUGUCUCCUCACACAUGCAUUAAGACAGAAAGCUCUGACCAGGAAAUGAAGUGGCUGGAAACUUGAUCUUAACUUGUAGCCUCCAGGAAGGAGAAAAUACAUUGUUGAUGUUUGAGCCACCCAGUCUAUGAUAUUUUGUUACGGCAGCUGAGACAUGUGCCCCAAAAUGACGUCAAUGACAAUAAGGACGUAAACUAGAGGACACGAAAAUAAAAAAAUGAUGAUCUGCUCACCACACUUACAUUAUUGCUCCUACUAACUUCUUGUCUGCUCCCAACCAGGGCAGAGAAAUCCUGGUUCCCCAACUCUUCCAUUUCACCUGUAUAGCAUGGAUGUGGUUGUAAAAGCAGGAGAGGUUAAACGUCACCCAGGCUUCAGGAUGCUGGUAGCCUGAGACUCGCUCUGCUCUAAACAGGCCCAGACUGAAGCCUCACAUACCACAGAAUUCAA